CUAUCCCCUUUUCGGGCCUGAAUGUCCUCAUUGCCCUUGACGCCUGGACCGUCCUCCUCGCCCCCACACGGCCUGGGGGCUCUUUAGCUUGGGAGGGGGCCACAGUCAGGGACCUGAGGCGAUACCACGGGUGGGCCGGGGAUCUCGUCCCAUUUUACCAUAGAUGGUGCGGGGACUCCUCUGUGCCCUGACUGGGGACCCAGGGAGGGGGGUUGCACGCACCCGACAGGGUCCAUUUUAAGAAAAGGGCGGUGUCUCUGAGCCCCCAGGAUGUAGGAGGACUUGGGGGCUGGCACCAGACGCGGGGAAGGGCUUGGAAUUCGGGCCUGUCCUCCCUGGAGAGAGAGGGGAUCAAGUGUGUGAGAAGGGAUGGGGGGAGCUACGCCCACCCUGGAAAGGGGCGAGGUGUCUGAAAGGAAGGCGAGGUCUGUGUUCAGACAGACCAGGACUCUGAUCCCCAGCCUGACGGAACCUCCCUUUUCUCACAGACCUCUCAGGAUGGUUCAGGUUUGAAGAGCUCAUUUAUCUAACGAACACUAGAGAUCUACUCCGUGCCAGGCUCUGCUUGGCCCCAGAGAUUGGGUGAGAGACAAGACGGACACGGCGGCGCCUUCCCUUCCGGGGCUUGUGUUGUGAGGAAAACAGUAGACAAGUGAGCAAAUGCACAACUUCACCUCUUGGCAGAUCCCUACACAAACAUUGUUUUCCCCCCUGAAGAUAUUAAACAAAAACAAUGUUGAACAUGGGGGCUGAAGAUGAAGUUCUGUUGAUGGAAAAGAGGAGAAGGCUGGGCUGACGUGAUGGCAACAUGCAAGUUCCUUCACCCAGCUUGGCCCUGCAAAGGAGUAUGGUCUUCAAAAUCCAAGAUGUAUUGGGGCACAUCUCACUGCAAGCACUCAGUGCCACAUGUGGCUUAGUGGCUAAUGUAUUGGGCCAGCAAGGCAGGUUUAGAGAAUGAAGAGAGAAGUGGGUGACUGGGGUCCUGUUGCCACUUGCUGUCCUAACACUGGCUGCUGAAACAAGUCUCUGCCAACCUCAGGCAAGCACAUCACAUGAAAAAGCUAUUGGGCAUCAUGAUUUCUGGAUGAAGAAACUCCCAGCCAUCGGGGAUGAACACAAACUUGAUUCAUCAUGAGGAUAUGCGAUGGUCACCUCUGCUACAGUCCGGAAGGUAAUCUUGCUGAUCCUACUGCCAGGCAGAGUGCAACUACUUCCAGAAACGCUGUGUGGUUUCUAAUAAGGUGAAAUAUACACUCACUGUAUGACCCAGCAAUCCCAUUUACCCAAGAGGUACUUAUCUACGAGAAAUGAACAUUUGUCCACACAAGGACUUGUAGGUGAAUGUUCUAGCAGCUUUAUCAUAAUAGCCCCAAACUGGAAACAGCUCAGAUGUCCUUCAACUGGAGCAUGAAUUACAAAUGGGUUCAUCUAAGCAGAAUUCUGCUCUGUAAUAAAAAGAACUGGACUCUUGAUAUAUAAAACAACACAAACGCCUCUCAAAAGCGUCAUACUGAGUGAAAGAAUCCAGUUGGAAAAAGCUAGAUGAUUUGUAUUUAUAUGGAAUUUAAGAAAAAGCAAAACUACAAUGGUGUGAAGAAGUUCAGCAGUUGGGCUGGGGAAAGUGGGAGGGAGUGACUAAAAGGGGCACAGGGGAAUUUUCUGAGGUGAUAUGAUUAUUCUAUAACAUGACUGUGGUGGUGGUUAUGUGAAAAUAAACACUUCUGUCUUACUGAAUUGUGCUUAAAAUUAAAGAAUUUCAUUGUGUAUAAAUCGUACCUCAAUGAAGCUGACUUUUAAAAAAAAAAAAUUAUGUAACUUGCAGCUGUCAUGUUUGUCUCUCAGUAAA
Molecule: long non-coding RNA, 1846 nt
Organism: Mustela lutreola (European mink)
Lineage: Eukaryota; Metazoa; Chordata; Mammalia; Carnivora; Mustelidae
Exons: 5
Source: RefSeq, a predicted model, not a curated record